GGUUAAGCGACUAAGCGUACACGGUGGAUGCCCUGGCAGUCAGAGGCGAUGAAGGACGUGCUAAUCUGCGAUAAGCGUCGGUAAGGUGAUAUGAACCGUUAUAACCGGCGAUUUCCGAAUGGGGAAACCCAGUGUGUUUCGACACACUAUCAUUAACUGAAUCCAUAGGUUAAUGAGGCGAACCGGGGGAACUGAAACAUCUAAGUACCCCGAGGAAAAGAAAUCAACCGAGAUUCCCCCAGUAGCGGCGAGCGAACGGGGAGGAGCCCAGAGCCUGAAUCAGUGUGUGUGUUAGUGGAAGCGUCUGGAAAGGCGCGCGAUACAGGGUGACAGCCCCGUACACAAAAAUGCACAUGCUGUGAGCUCGAUGAGUAGGGCGGGACACGUGGUAUCCUGUCUGAAUAUGGGGGGACCAUCCUCCAAGGCUAAAUACUCCUGACUGACCGAUAGUGAACCAGUACCGUGAGGGAAAGGCGAAAAGAACCCCGGCGAGGGGAGUGAAAAAGAACCUGAAACCGUGUACGUACAAGCAGUGGGAGCACGCUUAGGCGUGUGACUGCGUACCUUUUGUAUAAUGGGUCAGCGACUUAUAUUCUGUAGCAAGGUUAACCGAAUAGGGGAGCCGAAGGGAAACCGAGUCUUAACUGGGCGUUAAGUUGCAGGGUAUAGACCCGAAACCCGGUGAUCUAGCCAUGGGCAGGUUGAAGGUUGGGUAACACUAACUGGAGGACCGAACCGACUAAUGUUGAAAAAUUAGCGGAUGACUUGUGGCUGGGGGUGAAAGGCCAAUCAAACCGGGAGAUAGCUGGUUCUCCCCGAAAGCUAUUUAGGUAGCGCCUCGUGAAUUCAUCUCCGGGGGUAGAGCACUGUUUCGGCAAGGGGGUCAUCCCGACUUACCAACCCGAUGCAAACUGCGAAUACCGGAGAAUGUUAUCACGGGAGACACACGGCGGGUGCUAACGUCCGUCGUGAAGAGGGAAACAACCCAGACCGCCAGCUAAGGUCCCAAAGUCAUGGUUAAGUGGGAAACGAUGUGGGAAGGCCCAGACAGCCAGGAUGUUGGCUUAGAAGCAGCCAUCAUUUAAAGAAAGCGUAAUAGCUCACUGGUCGAGUCGGCCUGCGCGGAAGAUGUAACGGGGCUAAACCAUGCACCGAAGCUGCGGCAGCGACGCUUAUGCGUUGUUGGGUAGGGGAGCGUUCUGUAAGCCUGCGAAGGUGUGCUGUGAGGCAUGCUGGAGGUAUCAGAAGUGCGAAUGCUGACAUAAGUAACGAUAAAGCGGGUGAAAAGCCCGCUCGCCGGAAGACCAAGGGUUCCUGUCCAACGUUAAUCGGGGCAGGGUGAGUCGACCCCUAAGGCGAGGCCGAAAGGCGUAGUCGAUGGGAAACAGGUUAAUAUUCCUGUACUUGGUGUUACUGCGAAGGGGGGACGGAGAAGGCUAUGUUGGCCGGGCGACGGUUGUCCCGGUUUAAGCGUGUAGGCUGGUUUUCCAGGCAAAUCCGGAAAAUCAAGGCUGAGGCGUGAUGACGAGGCACUACGGUGCUGAAGCAACAAAUGCCCUGCUUCCAGGAAAAGCCUCUAAGCAUCAGGUAACAUCAAAUCGUACCCCAAACCGACACAGGUGGUCAGGUAGAGAAUACCAAGGCGCUUGAGAGAACUCGGGUGAAGGAACUAGGCAAAAUGGUGCCGUAACUUCGGGAGAAGGCACGCUGAUAUGUAGGUGAAGUCCCUCGCGGAUGGAGCUGAAAUCAGUCGAAGAUACCAGCUGGCUGCAACUGUUUAUUAAAAACACAGCACUGUGCAAACACGAAAGUGGACGUAUACGGUGUGACGCCUGCCCGGUGCCGGAAGGUUAAUUGAUGGGGUUAGCCGCAAGGCGAAGCUCUUGAUCGAAGCCCCGGUAAACGGCGGCCGUAACUAUAACGGUCCUAAGGUAGCGAAAUUCCUUGUCGGGUAAGUUCCGACCUGCACGAAUGGCGUAAUGAUGGCCAGGCUGUCUCCACCCGAGACUCAGUGAAAUUGAACUCGCUGUGAAGAUGCAGUGUACCCGCGGCAAGACGGAAAGACCCCGUGAACCUUUACUAUAGCUUGACACUGAACAUUGAGCCUUGAUGUGUAGGAUAGGUGGGAGGCUUUGAAGUGUGGACGCCAGUCUGCAUGGAGCCGACCUUGAAAUACCACCCUUUAAUGUUUGAUGUUCUAACGUUGACCCGUAAUCCGGGUUGCGGACAGUGUCUGGUGGGUAGUUUGACUGGGGCGGUCUCCUCCUAAAGAGUAACGGAGGAGCACGAAGGUUGGCUAAUCCUGGUCGGACAUCAGGAGGUUAGUGCAAUGGCAUAAGCCAGCUUGACUGCGAGCGUGACGGCGCGAGCAGGUGCGAAAGCAGGUCAUAGUGAUCCGGUGGUUCUGAAUGGAAGGGCCAUCGCUCAACGGAUAAAAGGUACUCCGGGGAUAACAGGCUGAUACCGCCCAAGAGUUCAUAUCGACGGCGGUGUUUGGCACCUCGAUGUCGGCUCAUCACAUCCUGGGGCUGAAGUAGGUCCCAAGGGUAUGGCUGUUCGCCAUUUAAAGUGGUACGCGAGCUGGGUUUAGAACGUCGUGAGACAGUUCGGUCCCUAUCUGCCGUGGGCGCUGGAGAACUGAGGGGGGCUGCUCCUAGUACGAGAGGACCGGAGUGGACGCAUCACUGGUGUUCGGGUUGUCAUGCCAAUGGCACUGCCCGGUAGCUAAAUGCGGAAGAGAUAAGUGCUGAAAGCAUCUAAGCACGAAACUUGCCCCGAGAUGAGUUCUCCCUGACUCCUUGAGAGUCCUGAAGGAACGUUGAAGACGACGACGUUGAUAGGCCGGGUGUGUAAGCGCAGCGAUGCGUUGAGCUAACCGGUACUAAUGAACCGUGAGGCUUAACCUU
This 2906-nucleotide ribosomal RNA is filed under the name Escherichia coli. Its description in RNAcentral is "23S ribosomal RNA". It matches the Rfam family "Bacterial large subunit ribosomal RNA". Lineage: Bacteria; Pseudomonadati; Pseudomonadota; Gammaproteobacteria; Enterobacterales; Enterobacteriaceae. The record is from RNAcentral.